UAUCCUAGCGACCCGUUUACAACCUCUUGACCGGCUAGAUAACCAACUGAUACAGUACCUUGCCAGCUUCUUCUGUUCAAAUCCGAAUUUUUCAACAACCUACAUCGGUGCCCUAACUUCCUCUCUCUUUCCUUAUCUGUUAUUCAAGAUUCAGCCUUUCAUUCUGACAUUGAAGUCGAGCGCAUGUGAGCCCUAACGCUGGCGUUCUGAGAUGCCGUUUUUCAGGCUUCAAGUAUCGUGAUCAAGCAGAGGUUGUCAGGUGCUGUUGAGCUUUAUUCGCUAGGCGAGGUCUCCGCUAGCUGAUUCGGAAAAAGGACAAGCUUCUCGAAAUGGCAGUUCUUCAAAAAGAGUUGUGAUCACAAGCAGCAAUAGACUGAGGCUCACCUUCAACGACGAGCAGGGAAUCAUGGCGUGGCUCUUCUGGUGAAUUUGCCGAGGGAUUCUCAAGCCGGUUGGUAGCAAGCCUCGGUCGAUUGUCUACUUCGCAGAGGGUUCAAACUUAAAAUUCUGGAGUUGCUCAUUGAUGUUGGCAUAAGUGGAUGAGCAUAACAGAUUAGAAAGAUUUUUAGGACUCUACAAAUUCUUUAUUACUUUUCUUAUUUCACAUUAUUGUUUUAUUUUGCAGCUAAUAAUUGCAACAAAACCGGAUCCAGAGCAUAUGAGAAAUCGCCAAAAAUUGUAACUGAAGACAACAUCAAGUUACUUUUUUUAAUACAGAAAAAGGUUGAUGCAAUCCAAGCAAAUUAUUCUGGCUUACUAAUAUCACUAACGGACAUAUGCAUGAAGCCGUUACGCCAGGAUUGUGCAACUCAAAGUGUGCUGCAGGUAUCAAUUUCGCAUGACCUAGACUAUAAGGGUGUUUAAGGAUGCAAAUGGUCUUGAUAUAGUUGCAGAAGAUGAGUCAGCAGCUAUUCCUAGAGUUACUAGGCGGGGAAUUUCAGAGGUAUGUGCAAUUACACCCGUUCAGAUAACUAAAGACCUAUCAACUGCUCAGCAAAGGAAUGACGUAUUCUUAUUUUUCAAAUAUGGAUGAUCACACAAAAGACUGAAAUAUCAGGGUAUGUGUUUGUAGGUGGGAGUCAUAAACACAAAAGAUGGCAACUAAUAAGUCUUGUUUGGCAUUCCCAUAACAUAUAUAUGGCAGGGAAAGAUGGUGAAGAUUUUUAUGUUGAUAUUGGUGAUUCAGAGUCUGGGAAAAAUGUAGCACGUGAAGAUAUGUCGUCUAAAGACAUGUUGGAUACUGGAAAUGCCAUGGAAGCUUUAACCAGAGUGGACUUGGACUUGGCAUACUCUUCCGAGAAAUCAGUUAAUCUAGACACACUUAUGAUGCAUGUUUGGGCAUGGGAAAAAGAAUUUGAAGCUCUGGCUACAGAUGAUAUAUCUGUUGAUUACAUAGAGAAAGCAUUGGCAUAUGAUUUCUUUUCGGGUAUCUUAGAAUCAGAGGUAAGAGCACCGGAAAAUUUCAUGAGUACCCUUCAACUUCAGAUGGUUGAUGCACGGCUUAAAAUAUCUUCAUGCGGCCACUUAAGAGAAUUUUUCACUGCAGUGGAGGUUAAAUUGUACAUUCUGGCGAGUCUCUAAAGCAAUCACAGGAGAAUGCACUGGAAAUGAAGAUGCAGUUAACCAAGUUGCAAAUGACAUCCCUGGCGUUCAAUCCAACCUAUUGGAAAUAUAACAGUAACACAGGUUUGCCAGAUGAUUCUCAAGGGUCACUUAUGAGGCCACAAUUGCAAACAGCUGAACAGAGACAUGUUUUAAGAAUGUUGGAAAAGUCUCUUGCAUGAGAGCUUGAUUUUGAGAAAAAGCUAACAGCACUUAAACAAAAUGAAGAAGAUUUGAAAUUGAAGCUACAACUAACCGAGCAGGUAUCAGAUCGAGAUCAUGAACCAGUAAAAAUUGUGGAGAUCAUGGAACAUAAUGAAGUGAUGCAAUGGUAAAACAAUGCAAAUAAGGCAUCAGAAAGAUCAGCAACAUCCUUUGGUGAUUUAUUUGUAGUGGUUUUUUUUUGAUUGAUUCAAUGAGUAUCUGAACUUGAACCAAACUCUUGAUAAUCAAAAAAACUAUGUAUAAUAUUUAUCUACAUUUUCUGGUUUA
Molecule: RNA transcript, 2094 nt
Organism: Daucus carota subsp. sativus
Lineage: Eukaryota; Viridiplantae; Streptophyta; Magnoliopsida; Apiales; Apiaceae
Exons: 8
Source: RefSeq, a predicted model, not a curated record